GGUUCGAUCCCGCCCAGAUUGAACGCUGGCGGAUGCUUUACACGCAAGUCGAACGUAUGGCACGGACUUCGGUCUAGUGGGCGAGUGGCGAACGGGUGAGUAAUGUAUCGGAACGUGCCUAGUGUAGUGGGGGAUAACUGGUUCACACUGCAUAAUAGCCUUCGGGGAAAGCGGGGACCUUCGGGCCUCGCACUAUUAGAGCGGCCGAUAUCGGAUACGGUUGGCGGGGUAACGGCUCACCAAGGCGACGAUCCGUAGCUGGUUUGAGAGGACGACCAGCCACACCGGGACUGAGACACGGGCCUUGACUCCUACGGGAGGCAGCAGUGGGGAAAUUUGGACAAUGGGGGAAACCCCGAUCCAGCCAUCCUUGGCGUGUGCGAUGAAGGCCUCGGUUGCAAAGCACUCCUUUGGCAGGAAAAGAAACGGCACGGAGCACACCCGUGCAACUGACGGUACCUGCAGAAUAAGCACCGGCUAACUACGUGCCAGCAGCCGUAAGUGCGUGUAAUACGUAGGGGUGCAAGCGUUAAUCGGAAUUACUGGGCGUAAAGUGUGCGCAGGCGGUUCGGAAAGAAAGAUGUGAAAUCCCAGAGCUUAACUUUGGAACUGCAUUUUUAACUACCGAGCUAGAGUGUGUCAGAGGGAGGUGGAAUUCCGCGUGUAGCAGUGAAAUGCGUAGAUAUGCGGAGGAACACCGAUGGCGAAGGCAGCUCUCCUGGGAUAACACUGACGCUCAUGCACGAAAGCGGGGAGCAAACAGGAUUAGAUACCCUGGUAGUCCACGCCCUAAACGAUGUCAACUUAGCUGUUGGGGCCUUCGGGCUUGGUGGCGCAGCUAACGCGUGGUUGACUGCCUGGGGAGUACGGUCGCAAGAUUAAAACUCAAAGGAAUUGACGGGGACCCGCACAAGCGGUGGAUGAUGUGGAUUGUCUGAUGCAACGCGAAACCUUACCUACCCUGACAUAUCUGGAAUCCCGAAGAGAUUUGGGAGUGCUCGCAAGAGAACCGGAAAUCAUUGCAGCGGUAAUGGCUGUCGUCAGCUCGUGUCGAGAUGUUGCUAAGUCCCGCAACGAGCGGCAACCCUUGUCACAUUAGUUGCCACGAAAGUGCACUCUAUCGAGACUGUUGCGACAAACUGGAGGGAAGGUGGGGAUGACGUCAAGUCCUCAUGGCCCUUAUGGGUAGGGCUUCACACGUCAUACAAUGGUCGGGACAGAGGGUCGCCAACCCGCGAGGGGAGCCAAUCCCAGAAACCCGAUCGUAGUCCGGAUCGCAGUCUGCAACUCGACUGCGUGGAAGUCGGAAUCGCUAGUAAUCGCGGAUCAGCAUGUCGCGGUGAAUACGUUCCCGGGUCUUGUACACACCGCCCGUCACACCAUGGGAGUGGGUUUUACCAGAAGUAGUUAGCCUAACCGUAAGGAGGGCGAUUACCACGGUAGGAUUCAGACUGGGGUGAAGUCGUAACAAGGUAG
Molecule: ribosomal RNA, 1476 nt
Filed under: uncultured Bordetella sp.
Lineage: Bacteria; Pseudomonadati; Pseudomonadota; Betaproteobacteria; Burkholderiales; Alcaligenaceae
Description: partial 16S-23S ribosomal RNA intergenic spacer
Rfam family: Bacterial small subunit ribosomal RNA
Source: RNAcentral